UUUUGCACAUUUAAAAAAAUAAUUUUCAUUUGGAAAAUACAGGGAAGAUUUUCAUAGCCCCAGUGCUAGGAGGCACACAAAUUUAUGAAGCAUUCCAUAUUUUG
This is a small nuclear RNA of Suricata suricatta (meerkat), 104 nucleotides long. The record is from Ensembl. NCBI's taxonomy places the organism in Eukaryota, Metazoa, Chordata, Mammalia, Carnivora, Herpestidae.